Molecule: ribosomal RNA, 378 nt
Filed under: uncultured organism
Description: partial 16S ribosomal RNA
Rfam family: Archaeal small subunit ribosomal RNA
Source: RNAcentral
CAGACCCCCCGAGUGGUGGGGGAUGAUUAUUUGGCCUAAAGCGUCCGUAGCCGGCUUUGUAAAUCUCUCGUUAAAUCCAGCGUCCUAAGCGUUGGGACUGCGAGGGGAACUGCAGAGCUAGAGGGUGGGAGAGGUCAGCGGUAUUCCUGGGGUAGGGGCGAAAUCCAUUGAUCCCAGGAGGACCACCAGUGGCGAAGGCUGCUGACUAGAACACGCCUGACGGUGAGGGACGAAAGCUGGGGUAGCGAAUCGGAUUAGAUACCCGAGUAGUCCCAGCCGUAAACGAUGCAGGCUAGGUGUUGGGUCGGCCACGCGCCGCCUCAGUGCCACAGGGAAGCCAUUAAGCCUGCCGCCUGGGGAGUACGGCCGCAAAGGCUG